GACGAACGCUGGCGGCGUGCCUAAUACAUGCAAGUCGAACGCACAGUUUAUACCGUAGCUUGCUACACCAUAGACUGUGAGUUGCGAACGGGUGAGUAACGCGUAGGUAACCUGCCUGGUAGCGGGGGAUAACUAUUGGAAACGAUAGCUAAUACCGCAUAAUAUUGAUUAUUGCAUGAUAAUUGAUUGAAAGAUGCUAUUGCAUCACUACCAGAUGGACCUGCGUUGUAUUAGCUAGUAGGUGAGGUAACGGCUCACCUAGGCGACGAUACAUAGCCGACCUGAGAGGGUGAUCGGCCACACUGGGACUGAGACACGGCCCAGACUCCUACGGGAGGCAGCAGUAGGGAAUCUUCGGCAAUGGACGAAAGUCUGACCGAGCAACGCCGCGUGAGUGAAGAAGGGUGUCGGAUCGUAAAGCUCUGUUGUAAGAGAAGAACGGGUGUGAGAGUGGAAAGUUCACACUGUGACGGUAUCUUACCAGAAAGGGACGGCUAACUACGUG
Molecule: ribosomal RNA, 505 nt
Filed under: uncultured bacterium
Lineage: Bacteria
Description: partial 16S ribosomal RNA
Rfam family: Bacterial small subunit ribosomal RNA
Source: RNAcentral